Long non-coding RNA from Pan troglodytes (chimpanzee), 2073 nucleotides. RefSeq lists it as uncharacterized. The transcript is spliced from 4 exons. Lineage: Eukaryota; Metazoa; Chordata; Mammalia; Primates; Hominidae. The record is from RefSeq and is a predicted model, not a curated record.
GUUAAGAAUGUAGUGAUUAGUCUAACAGCAGAUAUGGCAGUUGAAGAAAGAACUAAAACGGAGAGGUCCUAUAUAAUCUAAUUGCCAGUCAGCUACAGUGAGAACAUCCCUGUAAAUGUGUCCUGCUUGAUAUGGUCUAUACCAUGGACACAAUUGAGAACAAGGAACCACUCACCAAAAAAAAAAAAAAAGAAAGAAAGAAAACAUCCUCAGAUCCUUUGAAAGAAGUGACAUGCCACAGCAAACUCUGUGAAACAGGUGAAAAACUGAAAGUACAACAAUUGGGAUUACAGUGCAACUUUUUAUAUAAUAGAAAGUAGAUGUUUUCCAGGAGAAAGUUGAGACUUUUACAUAGACAAACCCGUGACAGGGUAGAAGGAGGAGCCACUCCAGUUGGUUGGCAGUAUGUGCUUAUGAAUAACUCGGGUCUGCAGACCAAGCUGAGGUGAAGAAGAUAUUAUAUGAUCCAUCAAGGAAUACAAAUUAAAGAAAGAGACCCUCUAUAACAAAUUGACAAGACAAGGAGUGCACACAUGACAGAUUUGGAGGGUGCCUACAAAGCUUGGCCACUUUCUUUUGCAUAAUUUUUUUAAUGGAUCCGUAACUACAGGACCUCAGGACCUACGUGGAUUGGAUUGAGAAUGAAACAAGACUGCAUAUAUUGACAAAAUCAAAGUAAGCUGCAUAUAUUUAAUGAAAAACAUGUUUGUAAAAUGGUAUACCUCCAAAACAAAAGGUAUGUUAAACUUAUACAAAGAGAUGUUUAAUUACCAAAUGGUGCACUUCCAAAUCAAAGAGUCCAAAUGAAUUUUUUAAAAAACUAGGCCUUGAUUUGUGUUUCUCUAAUGACCAGUGAUGAUGAGCAUUUUUCAUAUGUCUUUUGGCCACAUAAAUGUCUUCUCUUGAGAAUUGUCUGUUCAUAUCCUUUGCCCACUUUUUGAUGGGGUUGUUUAUUUUUUUCUUGCAAAUUUGUUUAAAUUCCAUGUAGCUUCUGGAUAUUCACCCUUAGAUAGAUAGAUUGCAAAAACUUUCCCCCAUUCUCUAGGUUGCCUCUUCACUCUGAUGAUAGCUUCUUUUGCUGGACAGAACUCUUUAGUUUAAUUAGAUCCCAUUUGUCAAUUUUGGCUUUUGUUGCCAUUGCUUUUGGUGUUUUAGUCAUGAAGUCUUUGCCCAUGCCUAUGUCCUGAAUGGUAUUGCCUAGGUUUUCUUCUAGGGUUUUUAUGGUUUUAGGUCUUAUAUUUAAAUCUUUAAUCCAUCUUGAGUUAAUUUUUGUAUAAGGUGUAAGGAAGGGAUCCAGUUUCAGUUUUCUGCAUAUGGCUAGCCAGUUUUCCCAACACCAUUUACUAAGAUAUUAUGUCACACCAGUUAGAAUGGUGAUCAUUAAAAAGUCAGGAAACAACAGAUGCUGGAGAGGAUGUGGAGAAACAGGAAUGCUUUUACACUGUUGGUAGGAGUGUAAAUUAGUUCAACAAUUGUGGAAGACAGUGUGGCAAUUCCUCAAGGAUCUAAAACCAGAAAUACCAUUUGACACAGCAAUCCCAUUACUGGUAUAUACCCAAAGGAUUAUAAAUCAUUCUACUAUAAAGACACAUGCACAUGUAUGUUUAUUGUGGCACUAUUCACAAUAGCAAAGACAUGGAACCAACCCAAAUGCCCAUCAGUGAUAGACUGGAUAAAGAAAAUGUGGCACAUAUAUACCAUGGAAUACUAUGCAGCCAUAAAAAAGGAUGACUUCAUGUCCUUUGCAGGGACAGGGAUGAAGCUGGAAACCAUCAUUCCCAGCAAACUAACACAGGAACAGAAAACCGAACACCACAUGUUCUCACUCAUAAGUGGGAAUUGAACAAUAAGAACACAUGGACACAGGGAGGAGACCAUCACACACAGGGGGCCUGCCGGGGGGUCGGGGGCUAGGGGAGGGAUAGCAUUAGGAGAAAUACCUAAUGUAGAUGACAGGUUGAUGAGUGCAGCAAACCAUCAUGGCACGUUUAUACCUUUGUAACAAAGCUGCAUAUUCUGCACAUGUAUCCUAGAACUUCAAGUAUAAUGAUAAUAAUAAAAAAAAACUAGGCC